Molecule: ribosomal RNA, 472 nt
Filed under: uncultured bacterium
Lineage: Bacteria
Description: bacterial SSU rRNA
Rfam family: Bacterial small subunit ribosomal RNA
Source: RNAcentral
GGGCCCGCACAAGCGGUGGAGCAUGUGGUUUAAUUCGACGCAACGCGAAGAACCUUACCUGGGCUUGAACUGCCGGUGGUAAAAACCCGAAAGGGCUAUGAUCCUGGUUUCCAGGAAGCCGGUAGAGGUGCUGCAUGGCUGUCGUCAGCUCGUGUCGUGAGAUGUUGGGUUAAGUCCCGCAACGAGCGCAACCCUUGCAUUUAGUUGCCAGCGAGUCAUGUCGGGCACUCUAAGUGGACCGCCCGGGACAACCGGGAGGAAGGUGGGGAUGACGUCAAGUCAGCAUGGCCUUUAUGUCCAGGGCUACACACGUGCUACAAUGGACGGUACAAAGGGCAGCAAGACCGCGAGGUGGAGCAAAUCUUUAAAACCGUUCUCAGUUCGGAUUGGAGGCUGCAAUUCGCCUCCAUGAAGUCGGAAUCGCUAGUAAUCGCGGAUCAGCUACGCCGCGGUGAAUACGUUCUCGGGCCUU